RNAcentral lists this ribosomal RNA (760 nucleotides) under Blastococcus sp. RNAcentral describes it as "bacterial SSU rRNA". It matches the Rfam family "Bacterial small subunit ribosomal RNA", at positions 112 to 883 of the family's 1533-position model. The record is from RNAcentral. Lineage: Bacteria; Bacillati; Actinomycetota; Actinomycetes; Geodermatophilales; Geodermatophilaceae.
AACACGUGGUCAACCUGCCCUCAGCUCUGGGAUAACUCCAAGAAAUUGGGGCUAAUACCGGAUAUGACCGCUGACCGCAUGGUCUGGUGGUGGAAAGAUUUAUCGGCUGGGGAUGGGCCCGCGGCCUAUCAGCUUGUUGGUGGGGUAGUGGCCUACCAAGGCGACGACGGGUAGCCGGCCUGAGAGGGUGACCGGCCACACUGGGACUGAGACACGGCCCAGACUCCUACGGGAGAAAGCAGUGGGGAAUAUUGCGCAAUGGGCGAAAGCCUGACGCAGCGACGCCGCGUGGGGGAUGACGGCCUUCGGGUUGUAAACCUCUUUCAGCAGGGACGAAGCGGAAGUGACGGUACCUGCAGAAGAAGCACCGGCCAACUACGUGCCAGCAGCCGCGGUAAUACGUAGGGUGCAAGCGUUGUCCGGAAUUAUUGGGCGUAAAGAGCUCGUAGGCGGUUUGUUGCGUCGGCUGUGAAAACCUGAGGCUCAACCUCAGGCCUGCAGUCGAUACGAGCAGACUAGAGUGUUGCAGGGGAGACUGGAAUUCCUGGUGUAGCGGUGAAAUGCGCAGAUAUCAGGAGGAACACCGGUGGCGAAGGCGGGUCUCUGGGCAACAACUGACGCUGAGGAGCGAAAGCGUGGGGAGCGAACAGGAUUAGAUACCCUGGUAGUCCACGCCGUAAACGUUGGGCGCUAGGUGUGGGGCUCAUUCCACGAGUUCCGUGCCGCAGCUAACGCAUUAAGCGCCCCGCCUGGGGAGUAC